GCGACCCCAGGUCAGGCGGGAUUACCCGCUGAGUUAA
Molecule: ribosomal RNA, 37 nt
Filed under: Mirabilis multiflora
Lineage: Eukaryota; Viridiplantae; Streptophyta; Magnoliopsida; Caryophyllales; Nyctaginaceae
Also listed under: 3 other names
Description: partial 26S ribosomal RNA
Source: RNAcentral